This is an RNA transcript of Chroicocephalus ridibundus (black-headed gull), 6358 nucleotides long. It is a transcript of the gene named adenylate kinase 9, with no coding region annotated. The record is from RefSeq and is a predicted model, not a curated record. The transcript has 37 exons. NCBI's taxonomy places the organism in Eukaryota, Metazoa, Chordata, Aves, Charadriiformes, Laridae.
GCGCCGCCGCCCGCCGGGGCGCCGCCCCACGCGUGGUCCCCCGGGCAGCGCGGCUGCCGGCGCGGAGGGGGCGGGGGCGGGGGCGGGCCGCCGGGGCAGGCGAGGCGGGGUCCGCUGCUCCCGGCGGGCCCCGCUGGCUGAGGGGGUCAGCACCAGGAACAGCUCCGAAGCCCCCUGCCCCUCCCCGCCUUCACCGUCUUCCCGAGGGGGCGGGGCGAAAGGGAGGGGGCGGGGCCCUUCUGUUGCCCUGGUUACCGGGGUACACAGGCCGGUGGCGGCGGCCGUUGUGCCCUCGCUCCUCCCCGUCCCCCCGCACUUCGCUCGACUCUCAGUUAAUAUAUGGCUUCACAAGAGGAAAAAACACCUCAGCCCUUUGCAGACAUCUUCAAUGAAGAUGAAGCUGAAAAAUCCUUUCUGUUAUCCAAGCCCACUUGCUUAAUUAUCCUUGGAAAGCCAGGUUCUGGAAAGAAAACCUUAGCUAGAAAACUAGCACAAAUAUGGAAAUGCAUUUUAAUAGAAGCUUUGGAAGUGAUUCAAACAAAUAUUCAGGAAGAAACAGAAUACGGGCUUAAGUGUCAAGAAUUGCUUUUUAAAGGUCAAAGUAUUUCUGAAGAACUGGUUACAGAAAUGAUUCUAAAGAAGAUUGAGUCACCAGAAGUUGCUCAUUAUGGUUAUGUUCUCAGUGGAUUUCCUUCUCUCUCAGAGGAAUACAUGACUGUUUCACAGCAAAUAGAGAAAAUAAAGAAUCUGAAAUUAAAACCGGAUCUCCUGAUUAACAUUAAGUGUUCAGACUAUGAUUUAUGCCAAAGAAUAUCCGGACAAAGGCAACACCCUGAUUCAGGGCACGUAUAUCAGAGGAACCAGUGGGAUCCUAACAUUAUGGAAAAGCAUAAGAAAGAGAAAGAUCAGCAUGAAGAAGAGAAUGAAGAAGAAGAAGAGCAGGAAGAAGAAGAGAUUGCAGAAGAUCCACUUAAGAUGUUAGAAUUUUUGCAUCAAUUAGUGCAGAGGCCUGAAGAUGUUCUUGAAAAUGCUGAGGAAAGAGUUGGAAUGUAUAAGGAUAUAAUGCUUCCUCAUUUAGAAGACUUGAUGGCUGAACAGGAUUGUCAAUAUCUUAUGGAACUGGAUGGAAAUCAGCAACCAGAUGAUCUCUUUAUAUCAGUGGUAGUUCGACUUCAAUCUCUGGGUGUUCGAAAUGCAGCUCCUAUAAUUAGACUUCAAAGCCAGCAAGAAGAAAUGCUGGAGGGACUGGAAAAUGAUGAACUUCUCCGGGUUCUGUCAUCUUACAAACUAAUAGCACACAGAUAUCGAUGGCGUAGAAGCAAGUGGGGGCAAGCAUGUCCUGUGGCCCUAAAGGAAGGUGAUAUUGUAAUGGGAAACCCAGACUUGGCUGUCAGUUUUCUAGGUAAAAUGUAUGUACUGUCAUCCCCAGAAGCAUUGAAAACGUUUAUGUUGAAUCCACGGCCUUACCUGUUGCCACCAAUGCCACUUCCUCCUUGUAAAGUACUAGUAUUUGGUCCUCCAUUCUCUGGAAGAACAACUCUUUGUAACCUAAUUGCACACAAAUAUAAAGGAAAGGUUCUUGAUAUGGCCAAACUCAUUCAACCCCAUAUGGAAGAAAUAAGAGAAGAAAACAUUGAGCAAGUGCGAAGAGAUACAGUAGAAAAGGCUAUAACAGCAGUGAAAAAUAGGUUGGAAUUAGAAAAACAGUCAAGCGAAUCAGGAGAUUUGCAAGAACAUAGUAGUGUCAAAGAAGCAGAUGAUUCCGAAGAAGCCACUAAAUCUGGAGAGGGAAUAAACUUGGAAGAGGGGAUUACAAUAAAACCUGCCAUCACCUCAGAAGAGAUAACUGCUGACCACCCAGAAGUUCAAGCGAUGGUAGAAGAAGCCAUAAAAAGUGCAUCAGUCUCAGAAGUUACACCGUCACCUGAAAUAUAUGCUGAAGUACUGGAGAGAGCUAUUGCAGAGCUUAUGAAGAAGAACAAAGACAGAUUUCCUGGUGCUCCAGAAAAAGGAGGAUGGGUAGUGGAUAAUUACCCUCUGUCAGUAGAUCACUGGUCAGCUUUAUCAGAAAAAGGACUUUUACCUGACACUGUUGUCUGUCUGAAGGAUACAGAAAAAGAUGGAGCCUGUAUACUACACAGAACAUACUUAGCAAAUAGGGAUGAAAUUAAUUCUAAGAUUUUGAAAAGACUAACAGAUGAAGCAUUAGAAAAGCAAGAAGAAUCAAGAAGAAAAAUGCAAGAAAUACUGACGUCAGAGGAAGAGCAAUCUCUAGAGGCUGCGGAGGAGAGAAAAUUUGAGGACAAUGAUGAGCAGCUUCCACCUGAAACUGAACAAAUGCCCGACAAACAGUCCAGUGACUCUGCGGGUUAUGAAGAAGAAUCUAAACCUCCAGAAGUCAUACUGCCUGAGUUUUCAGAGGAUGAUUUUCCAAAUAUACCAGAAAUGGAAAUAAUUAAAAGGAAGAUUGAGUUUUUCAUGCAUGACUGGCAAACAGUGGAGUCAGAAAUCAAGCAGUCAUCUCUAGCUCAGGUUGUUGUUUUAGAGAUUGCUGAGCAAACUCCAGAAAGUCUGCUUAAUCAAACCGUGCUGAUUAUGGAAAAAUCUUUUAAAUAUCAUGGUUGGGAAUUAUCUGCUGAAGACUUAGAUGAGGAAGCAGAAGAUCUGGCUGCUGAAGGGGACGAUGAAGAAGAAGAAGUUGAAGAAGAGGAAAAUGAAGAUGAAGAAGAUGAAGAAAAAACUAAGGAAAAGAAAAGGCACAUGGGAGACACAAAACACUUUUGUCCUGUCAGUCUGAAAGAGAGCUUUGUCCUUCACCCAGGACUCAAUGAACAUGCAGCUAAAUAUCAAGAAAAGAUUUAUUAUUUUUCAACUUCUGAGUACAAAGAUAAAUUUUUGAUGAACCCUGAGGAGUAUGUUGCUCACAAUGAACCAAUACAAGCUCCUCCUUUACGGGUGUGCUUACUUGGGACUCAUGGAGCAGGUAAAACUACUUGUGCACGACAGAUAGCAGACAAAUUAGGCAUUUUCCAUAUUCAGUUCGAAGAAUAUCUACAGGAAUUGAUCUUACCCAAAACUAAAGAGAAAAUUGGGCCCGAUUAUGAUGAAGAACCUGAAGAAGAUAACAGUAGAAUGCCAAUUCUAUCACAGGAACUGGACGACUUCUCUCAGAUCAUGACUAAUGUUGAGACUGAAAAAAGCAAACAGGAAGUGGAGUUAACUGAUGAGGAAGAAGCAAUCAAAGCAAAUCUAAUGGAUAAUGAGGCACUGCCUCCAGAAGUCCUUGAUAACAUUGUUCUUGACUGGUGGAAGAAAGAGCCAUUCCGGUCCACAGGAUUUAUACUGGAUGGUUUCCCUCGUAAUUUACAUGAAGCCCAGUAUUUGUCAGAACGAGGACUCUGUCCUGAUGUUGCGGUUUAUAUUCAAGUAGAAGAAAGUGACAUUCUUGACCGUCUUUUUCCUCCACGUCUGAAAAAGUGGAAAGAAAGACAGUAUAAAAGAAUGGAAAAUAAAAAGAAACUGAAAGACCUGAAAGCAGAAUUAAGGGAUGAGAGGAUUGCUAGAAGAAGGGAAGAACUUUUAGCAGAACGAAAACAAAAGAAACAGGAGGCUUUAGCAAAUAAGGAGCAUUAUGAAGCUAUGGAGGAGGAAGAUGAGAAUGAAAAUGAAGAUUUUGAAGCUAUACUUGAAGAUGAGUUUGUAGAAGAAGAAGAAGAGGCUGAAGAAGAACAGGAGAUCGAUGCUGUUGACCGCAUAAAAAAUGAAAUUGCAGAAAAGUUUGAUUUAGAAAUAGAUGGUUUACAAGGUGUAGAGGAAGAACUUGAAAAAUUGUUAAUUCCACAAAUCAAGAUCAAUGGAGGACGGAAGCCUCACAUCGUACGCUACCAAAUAUAUAGCAAGCUGAAUUCUCUAAUGGAAAAUCGUGAAAGCAUUUUCGAGAAAUGUUACCCGAUAAGUUUGCCACUGGCACAAAAGAUGCUAGUCUUCUCCUAUAAAUUUCCAAGUUCUUUUGGUCAGUGGGAUCCAAUCAAGCUAAGUGAAGGAGAUGUAAUCAAGCCACAACAAAGCCAUGAAAACACAGUCUUUCCUGUAAUCCAUCGACAAUAUAUUUAUUUCUUUUCAAGUAAAGAAAAUAAAGAAACAUUUAUGAAAAAUCCCUUCAAAUAUAUUCGUCAGCCAAAACCUAAACCAGCUGUGCCAGUUAAGAUUGCAAUAGUGGGACCUCCAAAAUCUGGAAAGACUACAGUUGCCAAGAAAUUUGCAAGUGUAUAUGGAUUACUGCGCCUGAGUAUGGGAGAUGCCAUACGGCUAGUGUUAAACCAUCAGCCAGAGAGUGAGCUGGCACUGAAGUUAAAGUGGCAUCUUCACAAAGGACUGACUGUACCUGAUGAACUGGCUGUCCAGGCUCUAGAUGUGUCUCUGAUGAAUCACGUGUGUCAUACCACUGGAGUUGUAAUUGAUGGAUAUCCUGUAUCAAGAAAACAAGUAAACCUCUUGGAAUCAGCUAGGAUAAUUCCACUGAAAAUCUUUGAAUUAGAAAUGGAUGCAAAGGAAGUGUUCAGAAGAGCACUGUUGGACAAGGAAAGCACGAAUAGACCUCCCUACCCUGAGCAUGACAGCUCACAGAUUCUAGCUAUUAAAAAUUCCUUCUAUAAACAACACAUUGAUGCAAUUAGGACUUACUAUAAGAAGGAGCAUCAGAACUGGUGUGUGAUUGAUGCCUUUCGAAGCAAGUGGUGGAUGUGGAACAAAGUACUGCAGGAAGUUCAAGUGGCUGUUAAAGAAAUCCAGAUAUACCUGGAAAGAAUAAGAGAAGGAAAAGCAGCUGGCAUUGCUGAUUUAUGCAUCACUCCCGAGGAGCUGCAGUAUCGGCUGGGGGAGUUUGGACAGUACUGUCCCGUCAGCCUUGCAGAAAAGGGUGAACUGGUUGACUGCUCUGUAACGUCGUCGUUGCAGUUUGCUGCAGAAUUUCGAGGACACUAUUACAAAAUGGCUUCACAGGAAGAACUGGACAAAUUCUUGAGCAGACCAGAGGUUUAUGUGCCACCACUGGCACCUCACCCUCUCCCACUCCCAGAUAUGCUACCAAAGAAACUGACUGCGGCAGAAGUGAAGGCCUUAUUCCCUAUAAGUGCUGAAAUGCAGGGAUACUGUCCAGUCACUUACCUAGAUGGAAAACAGAGAUACGAAGCUUUGGUGUCUGGCAACAUUCAGUAUGCAGCAAAAUAUCGAGAUAAGCUAUAUAUUUUUGAAAGUGAAGAAAAGCUUCUGAAGUUUAUGAGGUUACCAGAGAAGUACUGGAAUCUGAAGCUUCCAUGUAAACUCCCUCCGAUAAAGGAGCCAAUGCUGCUCACUGCACUUCCGUUAGCUGGAUACCUUGAACAGGCCAGUUUUUGCUUUUCUAUUUCAGUGUGUGACUUUGCAAUGUAUAGUAUAUCCCACUCAGUUUAUUUCAUUUUUAAUGCGUGUCUUAUGGGAUUAUAUUAAUGGGUCUUAAUGGGAUUAUAUUAAAUUGAAAAUUGUGUACUUGCAACUAAAAGGAAUUUUUUAAAAGCUUUAAAAUAAUAGGUAUUUGUAGCAUUAAUGGAAAAAAUAUAAGUAAGACCAUCAGAGGGGAAUAAUAAACUACAAUAUUAUAUGAUGGAUUUUCUGACUCUUUUGUUUAUCAGAUCUUGUAAGAUUACAUUUUGCUUUGGUGUUUAACACCAUGAUAGACACAAGCUUAUCUGGAAUCAUUUAAGGAUAAUUGGUUACAUUCUGAGGCAUGAAUAUGAAAUAAAAAAAAAUUAUUCAUGGUCACUUCCCCCCCCAUUUUAUACUAUUUGUUAACUUCUACAAUUCAAUAGCUUAGGUAUCAUCCAUCCUAUAUUGUUAGAUUUGCAGGAUCACCCUUUGAAUAUAUUUUUGUUCUUGAUUUCUGUAAUGGUUUUAUAAAACUGUUUUCUUUCUUUAGGGAGUAGCAACUUCUCUAAUAAAAGCUCUGCAUGAAGUAGGCUGCUUAAAGCCAAAGUUUCCAUUCCUAAGUGUAAAAAAAACUGCUCUGCUGUUUGUCGCCUGCCAUUUAAAAGGCCACAAUCCCCGGAGUCCGGCGCCGGCACGGCAGGCCUACCAGAGGAAGCUGGGGCACUUCAUGGAGCAAUGCCGCCUCCUCCCCUACCUGGCGGCAGCCAUGGCUGGACCCUACCGGCAGCCGGGACUGAGGCCCCCCGGCUUCGACGGCCGGCUGCGGGCUUUCCUCUCCCUCAAGGGCGCCAGCCCCGGCCUGCCAUAGCGCAGGCCGCAGGUUCUCCUUCACCCUCCCGGUGUGUACUUUCCAUCAUCCUGCCGCGGCGUGGCCGCUGAACGACGCCGCCCUCCC